GAUGAACGCUGGCGGCGUGCCUAAUACAUGCAAGUCGAGCGAACAGACGAGGAGCUUGCUCCUCUGACGUUAGCGGCGGACGGGUGAGUAACACGUGGAUAACCUACCUAUAAGACUGGGAUAACUUCGGGAAACCGGAGCUAAUACCGGAUAACAUGUUGAACCGCAUGGUUCAACAGUGAAAGACGGUCUUGCUGUCACUUCUAGAUGGAUCCGCGCCGCAUUAGCUAGUUGGUAAGGUAACGGCUUACCAAGGCAACGAUGCGUAGCCGACCUGAGAGGGUGAUCGGCCACACUGGAACUGAGACACGGUCCAGACGCCUGCGGGAGGCAGCAGUAGGGAAUCUUCCGCAAUGGGCGGAAACCUGACAGAGCAACGCCGCGUGAGUGAAGAAGGUCUUCGGAUCGUAAAACUCUGUUAUUAGGGAAGAACAAAUGUGUAAGUAACUAUGCACGUCUUGACGGUACCGGAUCAGAAAGCCACGGCUAACUACGUG
This 497-nucleotide ribosomal RNA is filed under the name uncultured bacterium. RNAcentral's name for it is "partial 16S ribosomal RNA". It matches the Rfam family "Bacterial small subunit ribosomal RNA", at positions 28 to 507 of the family's 1533-position model. The record is from RNAcentral.